GAUGAACGCUGGCGGCGUGCCUAAUACAUGCAAGUCGAGCGAACGGACGAGGAGCUUGCUUCUCUGAUGUUAGCGGCGGACGGGUGAGUAACACGUGGAUAACCUACCUAUAAGACUGGGAUAACUUCGGGAAACCGGAGCUAAUACCGGAUAAUAUAUUGAACCGCAUGGUUCAAAAGUGAAAGACGGUUUUGCUGUCACUUAUAGAUGGAUCCGCGCUGCAUUAGCUAGUUGGUAAGGUAACGGCUUACCAAGGCGACGAUGCGUAGCCGACCUGAGAGGGUGAUCGGCCACACUGGAACUGAGACACGGUCCAGACUCCUACGGGAGGCAGCAGUAGGGAAUCUUCCGCAAUGGGCGAAAGCCUGACGGAGCAACGCCGCGUGAGUGAUGAAGGUCUUCGGAUCGUAAAACUCUGUUAUUAGGGAAGAACAAAUGUGUAAGUAACUGUGCACGUCUUGACGGUACCUAAUCAGAAAGCCACGGCUAACUACGUG
RNAcentral lists this ribosomal RNA (497 nucleotides) under uncultured bacterium. RNAcentral describes it as "partial 16S ribosomal RNA". It matches the Rfam family "Bacterial small subunit ribosomal RNA", at positions 28 to 507 of the family's 1533-position model. The record is from RNAcentral.